This 356-nucleotide ribosomal RNA is filed under the name uncultured bacterium. RNAcentral describes it as "bacterial SSU rRNA". It matches the Rfam family "Bacterial small subunit ribosomal RNA", at positions 445 to 793 of the family's 1533-position model. The record is from RNAcentral.
AAGGUAGUGUAGUUAACACCUGCAUUACUUUGACGUUACCUACAGAAGAAGCACCGGCUAACUCCGUGCCAGCAGCCGCGGUAAUACGGAGGGUGCGAGCGUUAAUCGGAAUUACUGGGCGUAAAGCGCAUGCAGGCGGCCUGUUAAGUCAGAUGUGAAAGCCCGGGGCGUUAACCUCGGAAUUGCAUUUGUAAACUGGCAGGCUAGAGUCUUGUAGAGGGGGUAGGAAUUCAGGUGUAGCGGUGAAAUGCGUAGAGAUCUGAAGGAAUACCAGUGGCGAAGGCGGCCCCCUCGGACAAAGACUGACGCUCAGAUGCGAAAGCGUGGGAGCAAACCAGGAUUAGAUACCCUGGUAG